GAUGAAGAACAUAGCGAAAUGCGAUACUUGGUGUGAAUUGCAGAAUCCCGUGAACCAUCGAGUCUUUGAACGCAAGUUGCGCCCGAAGCCAUUAGGCCGAGGGCACGCCUGCCUGGGCGUCACACGUCGUUGCCCCCCCAUCUACUCCUUCGGGAUUGCGGGGGGCGGAUGAUGGCCUCCCGUGCGCCUCGUCGCGCGGUUGGCAUAAAUGCCAAGUCCUCGGCGACGCACGCCACGACAAUCGGUGGUUGCGAAACCUCGGUUGCCCGUCGUGUGCGGUCGUCGCGCAUCGAGGGCUCGAAAAAAUUGCCGGGCUCCGGCUCGGCUUUCAACGCGACCCCAGGUCAGGCGGGGUUACCCGCUGAAUUUAAGCAUAUCAAUAAGCGGAGGA
This 391-nucleotide unclassified non-coding RNA is filed under the name soil metagenome. RNAcentral's name for it is "partial contains 5.8S ribosomal RNA, internal transcribed spacer 2, and large subunit ribosomal RNA". The stretch from base 1 to 122 matches the Rfam family "5.8S ribosomal RNA", at positions 35 to 154 of the family's 154-position model. The record is from RNAcentral.